AGGAAUGUAGUUCAAUGGUAGAGUACUUGCCUCACAAGCAUGAGGGUCUGGGUUCAAUCCUCAACACUACAA
Molecule: transfer RNA, 72 nt
Filed under: Heterocephalus glaber (naked mole-rat)
Lineage: Eukaryota; Metazoa; Chordata; Mammalia; Rodentia; Bathyergidae
Rfam family: tRNA
About the family: Transfer RNA (tRNA) molecules are approximately 80 nucleotides in length. Their secondary structure includes four short double-helical elements and three loops (D, anti-codon, and T loops).
Source: Rfam by way of RNAcentral